RNAcentral lists this unclassified non-coding RNA (430 nucleotides) under soil metagenome. RNAcentral's name for it is "partial contains 5.8S ribosomal RNA, internal transcribed spacer 2, and large subunit ribosomal RNA". The stretch from base 1 to 120 matches the Rfam family "5.8S ribosomal RNA", at positions 35 to 154 of the family's 154-position model. The record is from RNAcentral.
GAUGAAGAACGUAGCGAAAUGCGAUACGUAAUGUGAAUUGCAGAAUUCAGUGAAUCAUCGAAUCUUUGAACGCAUAUUGCGCUCUCUGGUAUUCCGGAGAGCAUGCUUGUUUGAGUAUCAGUAAACACCUCAACUCUCUUUUCUUUUUUGAAAUUGGAGCUGGACUUGAGUGAUCCCAACGCUUUCUUCCAAGAAAGUGGCGGGUUGCUUGAAAUGCAGGUGCAGCUGAACUUUUCUCUGAGCUAUAAGCAUAUCUAUUUAGUCUGCCUAAAAAACAGAUUAUUACCUUUGCUGCAGCUAACAUAAAGGAGACUAGUUCUUGUGCUGACUGAUGCAGGAUUCACAGAGACAGCUUCGGCUGACUUUGUAAACUCGAUCUCAAAUCAAGUAAGACUACCCGCUGAACUUAAGCAUAUCAAUAAGCGGAGGA